GGCAGGGCAUCAGAGGGUCAGAGGAGGAGACAGGGGUGGGAAGAGAGGAAGGAGAGGGGGGUGGAAAGCAGCUGCGUGUGUCUGUUCAUUAACCACCUGGAUUAGCCAUUUCUGCCCAGAGGGGUGAGGAGGGAAUGAGAGCUGCUGGCUGGGGGAGGGCAGCAGGGGGCACUUAUGCCAGGCGGUGCCCAGGGCCCCAGGGACCCAAGCUGCGGGGAGGUGAGCGCAGCGGGGAAACCCUUCCAGGCCCACUAGACCCUCCCUGGAAGCCUUGGGCAGCCCUCUGGGAGAUGAGAGGCGGGAGCCAGGGGAGCCCCGAGAACAGGGCCCGGCAGCAGCUCCAGCGGUGGCUGGGAAAGAAAUGAAGAGGAAAAAUUCCCACGCCCAUCUCCUGGUCCCCUCCUGAGGCACCCCUGCUGAAGAAAGCGAUCCUGGAGUGCUUUGGUGACUUGUCCAAGACCACACAGGAUGGUGUUGAGCAGAAAGUCGACCUUGGAUAGGCUCAUUCCAGAGCCAAGCUCCUCACCGCUCAGCUCUCCAGACACUGAAAGGCCCUUCUCUUCCCCAUCUGGGCCAGUGACCUGCAUUUCUGAGCCUCAGUUCCCCCUGCUGUAUGAUGAGUUUGGAUCCAAAGGUCUUCAAGAUGUCUUCCAGUUCUAACACUCACUAAUUUUAUUAAUUCAUCCAAACGCUUCCCCAGGAAAGUGACAGGGAAGACCCAGAGGAGGGACAGUCUCAGGAAAGAUCUGGGGGCAUCUAGGGCCAGUGUCACAGGGCAACGAUCAGUACUUUGGAGGGCUGCUCCCCCUGCUUCAGUGACAGUGAAGCCUUGAGGAUUGGGGGGGUAGGAGUAGGGCACCUUCCCAGGACCCUAAUGUGGGCAGGGUAGAGAUGGAAGCAUCACUGCGCCCACCCCCUGCCUCCAGAACAAGAUGACUUCACCCCUUCCCAGGUGGAGAGUCUGGAUUCCCAGAGUCCCAAAUCCCAGUAUCUCUAAACCUACCAGCCCUUGCCAGUGGCCUCCCUCUGUGAGUGUGUAGGUGCAGCCAGAGACAGAGAUAGGAGAGACGUGGCCCCACAAAAUGUGCCUCUGAGACUGUGGACUGUGUGAGGAAAGAGUCUAGCCCUCCCUCGUCCCAACUCUGGGACAAAGAUGAAUCCUAAUAGCCUGUCCUACUAACUCCCACAUCCCUGCAGACCAACAUCGACUCAGGGGCUUGGUUCAGCCUUGGUCAGGGGAGGGAAGUGAGAGAUUCCACGUCAGCAAUCUGGGCUCCCCUAAAGGUAGAUGGGGAGUCUGCCACAGAAGCGGAAACCCCCUCCCUGUCUUGGGUCAUGAAUGGCAGACACGCCAUCCUCUCCCUCUCCUCCUUCCAACCCACACCCCACCAUCACCCUGACUGACCCCAAACUAUCCCAGGCUCCCCACUGCCUACCAGAUCCAGUCCCAGCACUGCAGAAGGACCCUCUGUGACACAGCCCCACCUCGAAGCCUUUUCAAGGCACCAUUCCCCCUUUUCCUUCUCCACGAUCAGGCCUCAAUUCAAAAGCCACAUCCUCCCUGGGUCCUUCUGCAACUGCCCCUCCAGUAGGCACUGGCCCCUCCUCUGAACACUGAGGGCUCUUGCUCAUACAUUAAUGGACACUCACUGGUUGGGUGCACUUGUCUAUGUCCCAGUGAGUUGAGCGAAGAUUCAUUCGUCAUUUCCUUCCCCUUUCCUCGCAUGCUGGGUACCCAGUGCAAGGUGGCCGCAUAGAUUCUCAGUGAAUGCAGACUGAAUAAAUAAAUGGUGGAGUGAUGGAUAGAUGGAUGGUUGGCUACAGACUGAAUAAACGAACACUUCUUAAUGUUUGAUUCUG
Molecule: long non-coding RNA, 1860 nt
Organism: Herpailurus yagouaroundi (jaguarundi)
Lineage: Eukaryota; Metazoa; Chordata; Mammalia; Carnivora; Felidae
Exons: 2
Source: RefSeq, a predicted model, not a curated record